UACAGAGGUCCCGAGCGUUGUUCGGAUUCACUGGGCGUAAAGGGCUCGUAGGCGGCCGGCUAAGUCCGACGUGAAAUCCCCAGGCUUAACCUGGGAACUGCGUCGGAUACUGGCGGGCUUGAAUCCGGGAGAGGGAUGCGGAAUUCCAGGUGUAGCGGUGAAAUGCGUAGAUAUCUGGAGGAACACCGGUGGCGAAGGCGGCAUCCUGGACCGGCAUUGACGCUGAAUAGCGAAAGCCAGGGGAGCAAACGGG
Molecule: ribosomal RNA, 253 nt
Filed under: uncultured bacterium
Lineage: Bacteria
Description: partial 16S ribosomal RNA
Rfam family: Bacterial small subunit ribosomal RNA
Source: RNAcentral